AACGAACGCUGGCGGCAUGCCUAACACAUGCAAGUCGAACGAGACCUUCGGGUCUAGUGGCGCACGGGUGCGUAACGCGUGGGAACCUGCCCUUAGGUUCGGAAUAACUCCCCGAAAGGGGUGCUAAUACCGGAUAAUGUCUUCGGACCAAAGAUUUAUCGCCUUUGGAUGGGCCCGCGUUGGAUUAGCUAGUUGGUAGGGUAAAAGCCUACCAAGGCGACGAUCCAUAGCUGGUCUGAGAGGAUGAUCAGCCACACUGGGACUGAGACACGGCCCAGACCCCUAGGGGGGGCAGCAGUGGGGAAUAUUGGACAAGGGGCGAAAGCCUGAUCCAGCAAGGCCGGGUGAGUGAGGAAGGCCUUAGGGUUUUAAAGCUCUUUUACCCGGGAUGAAAAUGACAGUACCGGGAGAAUAAGCCCGGGCUAACCCCGU
This 432-nucleotide ribosomal RNA is filed under the name uncultured bacterium. RNAcentral's name for it is "partial 16S ribosomal RNA". It matches the Rfam family "Bacterial small subunit ribosomal RNA", at positions 29 to 506 of the family's 1533-position model. The record is from RNAcentral.